Lathyrus oleraceus (garden pea) is the source of this 1020-nucleotide long non-coding RNA. RefSeq lists it as uncharacterized. The transcript has 2 exons. Lineage: Eukaryota; Viridiplantae; Streptophyta; Magnoliopsida; Fabales; Fabaceae. The record is from RefSeq and is a predicted model, not a curated record.
UCCCAACCUGCAGUGAGAGUCAAAUGGCAUAAUAAGUGUAAGUUUGGUUAAACUUGCAAUAUUUGAACAAUUCAGUUAAACCAAUCCCAAAGCAAUGUAGUGCAGAUAUCCACAGUUGGAUAGAAAAUCAAACAAGUGAGUUGAGGAAAAAAAACACAUGUGUUAUUCACCAAAAUCCCACGCGACUCACUCUUCUCUCACUUGUUAUCAAAUUUUGCCAAGAAAUAAAUACAUUUGCCAGCUGGAUAAAUCAAAGCGUAACAACUCAAAGAUAAUUCCCCAAAUUACCCUCUUGAAUUACGCUAUAAGUAAGGCAAACAUUGACAAUCAUUGGGGUCAGAAUUUUUCUCAUCCAAAGAAUCCUGCAAUCAUUCCCAACCCCCAGUACACACUCAUUUUCAUCAUUGUGGAAGCUUCAUCACUCGAAGCUCUACACGGCUAAGCUAAACCAUCGUUGGAAGCUUCAACACUCGAUUACCACUUCACUCUCAGGCUUGGACUAUUGAACCGAAGCAAGUUUCAGAAGUAAGAGGAGCAGAAGAGAAGAGUUGUACCUGUGAUUGGUGUCAUCACCGUCGCUGUCUCCGUCGUCGUCUCCAGCAGCGGUAAAUUCAUGAUCAUCAAGCUAUGGAUAAGCUAGACGUCAAUAAAACAAGAGUCGCCACCGCGCUUUUAUUAUUUCCAAGGGAAAAGGGAAAAGAGAAAAAUAUGAACAAAACCCAAAAGGUAAGAAGUUUUCAAAUCAAAACUAAUAAAAUGACAGAGAUUACAGGUAAGGGGGUUGGUUACACAGAGGGAAGGUGUUAACACCCAAAGUGUCCUAGGUACUUCUAGAGAGCCCUUUUUUGUGUGCAUAUGUGUUUUUUUUAAUAAAUGAUGUUUGCAAUAAAUAGAAUGGAGGGAUGAGAAAAUAAUUUAUUAAUUAUAUUUUUGUGUUUGACAAGACCUUCAGACUUGUGCCUACAUACCAACAUAAAAAUGAGGGAUCAAAACCUCGUAGUUCGUGGUAUCAAUUUCAAA